RNAcentral lists this small nucleolar RNA (76 nucleotides) under Exserohilum turcica Et28A. RNAcentral describes it as "Setosphaeria turcica Et28A A. fumigatus snoRNA Afu_294". It matches the Rfam family "A. fumigatus snoRNA Afu_294". Lineage: Eukaryota; Fungi; Ascomycota; Dothideomycetes; Pleosporales; Pleosporaceae. The record is from Rfam by way of RNAcentral.
CCGUAUGAUGAAAAACAUGAUCGCUGUGUUCUUUCUUAAUCACAUUGAAGAUACAAUCACCUUGGAGAACUGAACC